GACGAACGCUGGCGGCGUGCUUAACACAUGCAAGUCGAACGGAAAGGCCCUGCUUUUGUGGCGUUCUCGAGUGGCGAACGGGUGAGAAACACGUGAGUAACCUGCCCUUGACUUUCGGGUAACUUCAGGAAACUGCGGCUAAUACAGCAUAGGAGCUCCUGCUGCAUGGUGGGGGUUGGAAAGUUUCGGCGGUUGGGGAUGGACUAGCGGCUUAUCCGCUUGUUGGGGGGGUAGUGGCUUACCAAGGCUUUGACGGGUAGCCGGCCUGAGAGGGGGACCGGCGACAAUGGUCCUGAGAGACGGCCCAGUCGGGUACGGGAGGCAGCAGGGGGGAAUAUGGCGGAGUGGGCGGGCGCGUGAUGCAGAGACCCUGGGUGCGGGAUGCCCGGCUUCGGGUUAUAAACCGAUGUGGACGGUGACGAAGAGGGAGUGACGGUACUGGGUAAGGAAGCAACGGCUAACUACGUG
This 468-nucleotide ribosomal RNA is filed under the name uncultured bacterium. RNAcentral's name for it is "partial 16S ribosomal RNA". It matches the Rfam family "Bacterial small subunit ribosomal RNA", at positions 28 to 507 of the family's 1533-position model. The record is from RNAcentral.